Molecule: ribosomal RNA, 358 nt
Filed under: uncultured bacterium
Lineage: Bacteria
Description: bacterial SSU rRNA
Rfam family: Bacterial small subunit ribosomal RNA
Source: RNAcentral
GAGGAAGUGGGUAUGUUAAUAGCAUAUUCAUUUGACGUUUAGCUUGCAGAAGAAGCACCGGCUAACUCCGUGCCAGCAGCCGCGGUAAUACGGAGGGUGCGAGCGUUAAUCGGAAUUACUGGGCGUAAAGCGCAUGCAGGUGGUUUGUUAAGUCAGAUGUGAAAGCCCGGGGCUCAACCUCGGAAUUGCAUUUGAAACUGGCAAACUAGAGUACUGUAGAGGGGGUAGAAUUUCAGGUGUAGCGGUGAAAUGCGUAGAGAUCUGAAGGAAUACCGGUGGCGAAGGCGGCCCCCCUGGACAGAUACUGACACUCAGAUGCGAAAGCGUGGGGAGCAAACAGGAUUAGAUACCCUGGUAG